CAUAUACAUACACCGUCUAGGUGUAUUUUACUAUUAAUAUAUAUAUAUAUAUAUAUAUAUUAAUAGUAAAAUACACCUAGACGGUGUAUGUAUAUG
Molecule: non-coding RNA, 96 nt
Organism: Pelobates cultripes (western spadefoot toad)
Lineage: Eukaryota; Metazoa; Chordata; Amphibia; Anura; Pelobatidae
Source: the annotation of a GenBank genome assembly